Molecule: ribosomal RNA, 468 nt
Filed under: uncultured bacterium
Lineage: Bacteria
Description: partial 16S ribosomal RNA
Rfam family: Bacterial small subunit ribosomal RNA
Source: RNAcentral
GACGAACGCUGGCGGCGUGCUUAACACAUGCAAGUCGAACGGAAAGGCCCUGCAUUUGUGGGGUGCUCGAGUGGCGAACGGGUGAGUAACACGUGAGUAACCUGCCCUUGACUUUGGGAUAACUUCAGGAAACUGGGGCUUAUACCGGAUCGUAGCUCCUGCUGCACGGUGGGGGUUGGAAAGUUUCGGCGGUUGGGGAUGGACUCUCGGCUUAUCAGCUUGUUGGUGGGGUAGUGGCUUACCAAGGCUUUGACGGGUAGCCGGCCUGAGAGGGUGACCGGCCACAUUGGGACUGAGAUACGGCCCAGACUCCUACGGGAGGCAGCAGUGGGGAAUAUUGCACAAUGGGCGGAAGCCUGAUGCAGCAACGCCGCGUGCGGGAUGACGGCCUUCGGGCUGUAAACCGCUUUCGCCUGUGACGAAGCGUGAGUGACGGUAAUGGGUAAAGAAGCACCGGCUAACUACGUG